GAAAAUACAAAGGAAAAAGAAAGAAAAAGAGACUUAAGGUUUCGGCACUAAUCUUGGAAAAUUUAGGUAUGAUUUUUAUCCGUUUUCGAUAAUUUUAAAGUUUUUGAGAUCGUUGCUUCGAAUACUAGCUGACCCAUGCUCGAAUUUUUGAAUUGGUUGUGUAUUUUGUGAUUUGCCAUUGAUGAGAACUUGUUGUUUUUGUGGUUUUAUGAUGAAAAAUAAUUACAUGUUGAUAGAUUAUCUUGUUUAAUUAAGUGAUUUUUAGUAAAAAUGCCUAUUUGGGAUUAAAUUGUGAAAAUGAUAUUUUGAGAGACUAAAAUGUAAAAUAAAUGAAAGAAAUGGGCUGCUAAGGACCUUACUGAAAUUUGGCCAAGCAUGAGUGUGGUCAAAUUUUGAAUAUUUUGUGUUUUGUGAAAUAAGGACUAAAUUACGAAAAAUGUGAAAUGUCAAGGGAAAAAGUGUAAUUAACUCAUUUAUGUGUUUUUAGAUGAAUUUGAUUGAAUAUAUGAUUAAAUAAGUUAAAUUUGUAUUGAAUUAGAUCAAAAAAUGAGGAAAUCGAAUUUGGAUCGGGGAAAGUAAAAAAUUAUCGAAUAGUCUUUUCGGUUCGUUCGUGUUAGUACGAGGUAAGUUCAUAAGUAUAUAAAUGUUGUUAAAUUGAAAUGUGUGUGCAUUAUAUAUGCUGAAUUGAGUUGUAAAAAAAUGGUUGUGAGAUUGAAAUAUGUAAUAUGUGAAUUGGAUUUGAUGCACUAAGCGUGCGAUAAAGACAAUAGUUACGGCAUUUAUAUAAUGGCGCUGGGUGCGUGAGAUUGUAAUAGCAUUGGCUGAGUAAAUGGAACUAUGUGGAUGACACAGAUAUAAGUUCGGUUUAAUGUAAUGGCACUAAGUGUGCGAUAUAAUUAUAGCUUCGGCUAAUUAAUUGGCACUAAGUGUGCGAUACAAUUAUAGCUUUGGCUAAUUAAUUGGCACUAAGUGUGCGAUACAAUUAUAGCUUCGGUUAAUUAAUUGGCACUAAGUGUGCGAAACCAUUAUAACUUCGGUUAAUUAAUUAGCACUAAGUGUGCAAUUUUGUUGAAUGUUCAAGGAUGAUUGAAUGAAUUAAUGUUUCGAGCAUUGAAAUGAUAAGUGUGACAGAUAAGAAGGUAAUGGUACAGGUAUGUAUGAACCCUAUGUGGUGGAUGAUGUUAAGUAUGAAGUAGAUGAAAAAUUGUGUAAAUGAAUGGUGAAAUGAGUUGGAUUGAAUGACAUUAUUAAUGCUAUUCAUAAGAUUAAAGAUGUAAAAUGAAAGUAAGAUAUGGCUUUGAAUAAAGAUGAGUAGUAUGAUGUAUUAUAUAUACUCGCUAUAUGAAAUUGUGGUGCUUUGUUUAGGAUAUGAGGUUUAUGAAACAUGAAACAUGACUGUGAGGUAUGAUUUCUUGGUUCAAAAACUGGAACAGGUAUUGAAAUUAAAAUGGUGAGUUGGAUAUAUGAUUUAUAUAUGCAAUUUGGUUUAGGUGAAUAAGGAAAUCAUAGAUGUUCGAGUUUAGAAGGGUUUAAAAAGAAGUUGAUAAAACUUUAUGUAUGAUUCGUAAUAAAUGACCAUGAUUAGGUUGGCGAUGAAAUGAAUAUGUGCUAGCUUGAUUUUUAUGAUGAGCUAAUGGUUGUUAUUCAAUUUUGAAAGUAUGGUUAUAUGUUCAUUGAUAAACAAGAUAAGUGAAGUUAUUUAAUGUGGUUCUAUGAAUUUAUAAGUAUAAUAAAUGUACAUGUGAUUGAGAUUUGUUAAAUUCGAUUUAAUGAUAUUGAUUUAUAAAUAUCAUUGAAAUGAAUUAUUUGCUUAUGACUUACUAAGCUUUCAAAGCUUACUCCGUGUAUUAUCUUAUGUCAGGUUGGAUGUUGGAGGAGACGUCACCACACUAUCCGGUUAUCAUUUCGGUAAAUAAAAGCUUUAAGUUUUGGUAAUGUGGCAUGUAUAAGCUAGUUUUGAGAUGGUUCAUUUUGACUUGUGUAUUUAUAUGUAGCCAUGCAAAAAUGGCUUGCUAAAGAUGUUAAUGUUUGUGUAUAUUCGGGCAUGGUAUGAGUUCAUUUUGAGAAGUAUGUUUUAUGGUAUGUAUGUAAGGUAUAAGAUUGACA
RNAcentral lists this long non-coding RNA (2106 nucleotides) under Gossypium barbadense (sea-island cotton). Its description in RNAcentral is "long non-coding RNA (GBAR_LNC000376)". The record is from RNAcentral. Lineage: Eukaryota; Viridiplantae; Streptophyta; Magnoliopsida; Malvales; Malvaceae.